RNAcentral lists this ribosomal RNA (1565 nucleotides) under Salmonella enterica subsp. enterica serovar Kentucky. RNAcentral's name for it is "partial 23S ribosomal RNA". It matches the Rfam family "Bacterial large subunit ribosomal RNA", at positions 670 to 2215 of the family's 2925-position model. The record is from RNAcentral. Lineage: Bacteria; Pseudomonadati; Pseudomonadota; Gammaproteobacteria; Enterobacterales; Enterobacteriaceae.
AGGGAAACCGAGUCUUAACCGGGCGUUAAGUUGCAGGGUAUAGACCCGAAACCCGGUGAUCUAGCCAUGGGCAGGUUGAAGGUUGGGUAACACUAACUGGAGGACCGAACCGACUAAUGUUGAAAAAUUAGCGGAUGACCUGUGGCUGGGGGUGAAAGGCCAAUCAAACCGGGAGAUAGCUGGUUCUCCCCGAAAGCUAUUUAGGUAGCGCCUCGUGAAUUCAUCUCCGGGGGUAGAGCACUGUUUCGGCUAGGGGGCCAUCCCGGCUUACCAACCCGAUGCAAACUGCGAAUACCGGAGAAUGUUAUCACGGGAGACACACGGCGGGUGCUAACGUCCGUCGUGAAGAGGGAAACAACCCAGACCGCCAGCUAAGGUCCCAAAGUCAUGGUUAAGUGGGAAACGAUGUGGGAAGGCCCAGACAGCCAGGAUGUUGGCUUAGAAGCAGCCAUCAUUUAAAGAAAGCGUAAUAGCUCACUGGUCGAGUCGGCCUGCGCGGAAGAUGUAACGGGGCUAAACCAUGCACCGAAGCUGCGGCAGCGACGCUGAUGCGUUGUUGGGUAGGGGAGCGUUCUGUAAGCCUGUGAAGGUGGCCUGUGAGGGUUGCUGGAGGUAUCAGAAGUGCGAAUGCUGACAUAAGUAACGAUAAAGCGGGUGAAAAGCCCGCUCGCCGGAAGACCAAGGGUUCCUGUCCAACGUUAAUCGGGGCAGGGUGAGUCGACCCCUAAGGCGAGGCCGAAAGGCGUAGUCGAUGGGAAACGGGUUAAUAUUCCCGUACUUGGUGUUACUGCGAAGGGGGGACGGAGAAGGCUAUGUUGGCCGGGCGACGGUUGUCCCGGUUUAAGCGUGUAGGUGUGUGUUCCAGGUAAAUCCGGUUCACUUUAACACUGAGGCGUGAUGACGAGGCACUACGGUGCUGAAGCAACAAAUGCCCUGCUUCCAGGAAAAGCCUCUAAGCAUCAGGUAACAUCAAAUCGUACCCCAAACCGACACAGGUGGUCAGGUAGAGAAUACCAAGGCGCUUGAGAGAACUCGGGUGAAGGAACUAGGCAAAAUGGUGCCGUAACUUCGGGAGAAGGCACGCUGACACGUAGGUGAAGUGAUUUACUCACGGAGCUGAAGUCAGUCGAAGAUACCAGCUGGCUGCAACUGUUUAUUAAAAACACAGCACUGUGCAAACACGAAAGUGGACGUAUACGGUGUGACGCCUGCCCGGUGCCGGAAGGUUAAUUGAUGGGGUCAGCGCAAGCGAAGCUCCUGAUCGAAGCCCCGGUAAACGGCGGCCGUAACUAUAACGGUCCUAAGGUAGCGAAAUUCCUUGUCGGGUAAGUUCCGACCUGCACGAAUGGCGUAAUGAUGGCCAGGCUGUCUCCACCCGAGACUCAGUGAAAUUGAACUCGCUGUGAAGAUGCAGUGUACCCGCGGCAAGACGGAAAGACCCCGUGAACCUUUACUAUAGCUUGACACUGAACAUUGAGCCUUGAUGUGUAGGAUAGGUGGGAGGCUUUGAAGUGUGGACGCCAGUCUGCAUGGAGCCGACCUUGAAAUACCACCCUUUAAUGUUU